This is a long non-coding RNA of Cephus cinctus (wheat stem sawfly), 2932 nucleotides long. RefSeq lists it as uncharacterized. The transcript is spliced from 5 exons. The record is from RefSeq and is a predicted model, not a curated record. NCBI's taxonomy places the organism in Eukaryota, Metazoa, Arthropoda, Insecta, Hymenoptera, Cephidae.
GAACGUUACACUUUGCGCAUGCGCGAUACCGACCAAGCACACGCGCACGAGCGCCACCCAUCGUCUCCCGCGGCACUUCGUUCGCUACGAACUUAUCCUUCGUCUUGUGUACCUUUCGGGCGUUCGCGCGCGCCACAAUCGACGCACAAUGGAUCCCGAUGAUUAAUGAUGAUUGGCCGUGGACCCGUUAAUGACGCAGUGACUUGACGGAUCCGCUAACUAGCCCUUUGAGUAGAGUCUCGAGCCUCGAGCCUUUUUGUGCGGCAUCCGCGACUGGCGCACCCUCUACAACAUAACCCUACCUGUCUGACAGCCUUUGGAUUUUCAAUUUGUGUCUCGUGCGUAACUAGCUACUCAACUUGUAAGUAAAUAGACACGUACACCACUUGGCAGUGCUCCUUUAUAAUCUCUCUUCUAUCCUCAAUGAUAUUUAACAUAUAUUUAUAAAUUCCCAUAACACAUGGAACAAUUGAGAGCCCCUGAUUGUACGGAGGCACAUGACGACUCUAUCAGGCCCCAGGGCGUAUAUACCUACUACGUAGGCAGGUUAGGCUCACUUCGGACCCCAUAACCGCGUUAUCCCUUAUUUAAAUACACACCCACUACCAUCACCAGAGAUAUUACCUUACUCGUAAUCCUACCUGCGAGCACUCGAGACACGGAGAACAAAAGGGACACGGCUGAAAUCGGUGUGCACGCGAAGGAAUAGGAGAAUUGAACUGAGAGUGACCAAUGAAGAAUAAGAGAAUAACAGAGAGACUAGAAAAGAUAGUAGCGAAGCUACAGUGAAUAAGAGGUACCUCACGAGUAUCCAGAUAUACAACCAUGGUAGAUGCUUUACCGUUUACACGCUAGAGAGCCCAGGCAUCAACGCUGCAGGAGUGCAGGAGUGUCGGAGAGAGAAGAGGAACUAUACCAGGAGUACGCGACGUCAGGACUCUCGCCUCUGUCGAGCCACCAUGUAUUAUUUAUGAACGAGCGCGAAUAUUGACCAAAAUGGCCGGGGCGAACAUUGUUUUAUUAAUCUAAUCGAUCCAUAAAUAUUAAACAGUUGAUUUUCGCCAAUGCGAAUUACCAGCCGUCGACUUAACGAUGGUGUAACUAUACACAGGGUACGUCUGCCGGGCAGGUUUUGUUAAUUGGUAUCCCUGGCGAAAUUGCUGGGGCGCAUGCGCGCCAUGCAUUUUAAUCAACAGGAGGAUGAAAUCUCGCGAAAGCAAGGACUACCUAAAAAUUCAGUGACAGCUAUCGUGCAGGUUAUCAACAAUCACAGUCAUUCGACUCUGAUCGAGGUGGUAGGACGAGGACGCUGUUAAACACACAUUUUAGGCACGGUGGGUGGAGAGAAAAGUGAUCGCUCACCGGCCAUACGUGAGCUUCGCUUGUAUAGCCCGUACGUGCGCACUCUCCCGAGCCACCAGGACUCUGCCGUAAACGUUACCUACUCUACGCGUGUGCUCGCUGCUAUAAGUAAGCCAAUUCAUCAACAUUAUCACUGACGGACGUAGUUACCUUGCGACGAGCGGUUCCCAACUACCUGCCAUGCUGUAACGCGUCCUCGAGUUCGCCCUGCUCUCAGCAGCUCUCCCGUCAAGGCACGAGGGACUCGACGUGAUGGCCAAUCCACGUGGGAACUCCUGAGGAAUCGAUGGCCCCGCUUUGGAGCCGAUAAUCACGUCGAUAAUUAUGAUAUCGAAGCCGUUACGUGCCACAGGGCUGCCACUACGCUCUGCAUGGUCUUUUUCGUCUUUUCUUGAUCCUUCGUUCUACCAACAUACCUGUAAUGUCUUAUGCUGGGAAAAAAAGUAUGUCAUCUGGUAGUAGUGGAGAUUUGCUACGAUGGAGACUGAUAGCGAUACCGAAAUCCUACUGCCAAUUGGAAGUCACGGUUCACCCAUGCGCCGCUAGAGGCGCCUAUUUGCCAGUCGACGAUCCGGCUGAGAUAAGUCCGUAAGAGCAAGUCGCUCGAGUAGGUAACAAGUAACGAGAUAACUAGUAAUAAGAAGGUAAUGACUGCGCGUAGAACGCAAGGCGCAAGAAAGUUGGACGGGAGGCCGUAACUCCGGACGCUUAACCGAACGGUUAACCGUUUUCGUUCGGUAAAAUCACCGACGGUUAAAUCAACAAUGUUGACCAAUAGGAAGCGGCGAGACGCAGUAGUGAGGCGCUCCGGUUAUUGCUCGUAAAGCGAUGAGUUUUUGAACGAGGCGAAAAUAAAUAUUUCGCGAUAAGUAUAUACGCCAAGGUACCAGCGCGGCGUCUCGUCGAAUGAACGCCAACCUGGCCUUUAUACAUUUACUACCAUCGACAUCAGGGUGCGUUCACAACGUGCUUGUUAGGAUGGGCGACAAAAAAAUUCGCGACCAUCGCACACUCGCCACACGCAAAUGGAAUCUCCUGGCGACCGAGCGACACGACGGGUUUUCAAGUAAAACGAUACUACCACAGUAAAUCCAUGGUUUCGACGCCAUAAAUAUUUUCUGGAUCGACGCGCGAAUUACGAAUUAUCCACCGUUAUAGGGAAGGGAAUGUUUAUGUGAUUUUUACUAUAUAUAUUUAUACAUAGUGUCAUAUAUAUACAUGCAUAUACCUACAUUAGAGACUGUGAAUACUGCCUAAGCGCACAGCAAGAUGCUCCGUGCGCGUGACGCUGGGCCAUUAUUUUCGCUCGAUGAAACAAUUAGUCAGCGACCCAAGCAGCUGUAAUUAGACAAAGGAUAAUUAGCAUGAGGUUUUGCUAUCUCAGUGUAUCUGAACAUUGAGCGCGGGACUACUAACUGCAUGGCGCAGUAUCUAUAGGUAUCUGAACUAGACAGGAGCAUUCGAGUGCGAGCUAAUUGGAGGAACCAAUUGGAGGUGCGUCUUUACGACGCGAAGAUUUGCAUAAUUUUUUCCUGCGCUUAAAAGAAACAAAAUGUAAUAUGUAUGUGUA